GUAAUACUCCCUCCGUCCCAAAAUNNNUGUCUUAAGUUUGUCUAGAAAUGGAUGUNNNUUAAGUUUGUCUAGAAAUGGAUGUAUGUAAAUACUAAAACGUGACUAGGUACAUUCAUAUGUAGAUAAAUUUAAGACAAGAAUUUUGGGACGGAGGGAGUAUUAU
Hordeum vulgare subsp. vulgare (domesticated barley) is the source of this 163-nucleotide non-coding RNA. The record is from Rfam. NCBI's taxonomy places the organism in Eukaryota, Viridiplantae, Streptophyta, Magnoliopsida, Poales, Poaceae.